AAGCCGGAAAAGCAAGGCGGAAGCGGCGGAAAAAGCAAGAGACGCCCUUGGAGGCCUUGGAGACGCCGGUCGCGUUUUGACUCUUGUUUUGACCAGGGCCUUGGUUUUGACUUGGUUUUGACCAUUCUGCGGGUCACUGCGGAUACUAUGGCUGCCUCACAAAAAUUUUGCCUGAAGUGGAACAACUUCCAGAACAGUGUAACCUCAGUGUUUGACAGCCUGCGGCAAGAUGAAGAACUGGUGGACAUAACGUUGUGCUGUGAGGGGAGAAAGAUAAAGGCACACAGGAUGAUGCUGUCAGCAUGCAGUCCUUAUUUCAGGGAUCUCUUCAAGGACAAUCCAUGCCAACACCCCCUGUUCUUCUUGAAGGACACUUCAUAUGUAGACAUUGCAGCUGUGAUAGAGUUUGUGUACAAAGGAGAAGUCAAUGUGCUUCAAAGUCAGUUGGCAAGUUUCCUGAAGACAGCAGAGCUGCUCCAGGUCAAAGGACUCUCAGGGGAUGAAGAGGAAGACCAGGCACCCAGGUCUCAGCCGCCGGACCGGUCCCGCUUACCGUCCGGCCCGCCGCCGCCGCCGCCGCCGGUGCGCCAGCGUCCCCGCGAGUCGGCCGAGCCGCCCGCCUCGCCGCGGCUCAAGCGGCGCCGGCUCUCGGGCUCCUCGGGCAGCCGGCCGGGCUCUCCGUCAGCGGUGAGCGCCGCCCCGCCGCCGCCAGCAGCCGCCGCGGGGCCGCGCGACCCGGCCGCGGACGUGAUGGCCGGACCGCCGGGCGCCGCCCUACCGCCGCCGCCACCGCCGCCCGUGUCGGGCGCGGAUUUGGCGGAGCCGCCCCCGCCGCAGCACGAGCCUCCGCCGCCGCCCCAGCCGGCUGCCGGCCGACAGGACUAUGGCAUCAAAGUGGAGAAAAUAGACAUUGCGGACGAUGACGAUGACGUUAGUUUAGAGGCCACGCUGGGUCAGGUGUCGACGUUUGAGGCGUCCCAGUUCGAUGGGUCAGACCACUCGGCGAGCUCCCACGAUAUGAGCGGGCUUCUCUCCGGACUUUCCGACAGAGUCGGCGACGUGUUAGCUCCGUCGGCGUCGGCAGAGGACGGCUCAGCACAAGGCGGCGCUGCGCUCGGAGGCUGGAUGACGCGCGGGUCGGCAGCGCGCGGUUUUCCGUGCGCCCUGUGCGGCAAGACGUAUGCGCUGCGCACCUCACUGACGCACCACAUGGGCCUGCACCGUGGCGAGACGCGCUGUCCCGUCUGCCAGAAAGUGUUCUCCCGAAAGGGUCACAUGCUCAAUCACCUGCGCGCAGCGCAUCAAAUCACGUGAGACCUGCAGCGGGCCUAGCGCGGAAGCACGUAACCCGCCGGUGGGACCGGUGCUCUUGGAUAGUGACCGUCAGGUGAUGCUCCACUUACGGCCAGAGAUAUGGCGUCGAAUGUCGACGACGGACGUAACCGUGGACGAGCCGAUAUUGUUUUGGCCAGUCUACCAGUGUGUUGUGAAUUGUGAUUCUGAACGUAUUACCUAAUCUUGUAUGAGUUAAGCGCGCGACACAGUCAGAAGAAUAAGUUGUUAUGCCUGUAAACUAAGUCGAGAGAAAUAUACAUUGUCGUGAUCAA
This 1607-nucleotide unclassified non-coding RNA is filed under the name Amphibalanus amphitrite. RNAcentral's name for it is "protein bric-a-brac 2-like, transcript variant X15". Lineage: Eukaryota; Metazoa; Arthropoda; Thecostraca; Balanomorpha; Balanidae. The record is from RNAcentral.